Molecule: ribosomal RNA, 253 nt
Filed under: uncultured bacterium
Lineage: Bacteria
Description: partial 16S ribosomal RNA
Rfam family: Bacterial small subunit ribosomal RNA
Source: RNAcentral
UACGUAGGAGGCAAGCGUUGUCCGGAAUUACUGGGCGUAAAGCGCGUGUAGGUGGUGGGACAAGUCUGCUGUGAAAGCGCCUGGCUUAACCGGGCGAGGUCGGCGGAAACUGUCCGACUAGAGGACGGUAGAGGGGGGUGGAAUUCCCGGUGUAGUGGUGAAAUGCGUAGAUAUCGGGAGGAACACCAAUGGCGAAGGCAGCUCGCUGGGACGUUACUGACGCUGAGACGCGAAAGCGUGGGGAGCAAACAGG